AGAACGAACGCUGGCGGCAUGCCUAACACAUGCAAGUCGAACGAGACCUUCGGGUCUAGUGGCGCACGGGUGCGUAACGCGUGGGAAUCUGCCCUUGGGUUCGGGAUAACAGUUGGAAACGACUGCUAAUACCGGAUGAUGUCUUCGGACCAAAGAUUUAUCGCCCAAGGAUGAGCCCGCGUAGGAUUAGCUUGUUGGUGAGGUAAGAGCUCACCAAGGCGACGAUCCUUAGCUGGUCUGAGAGGAUGAUCAGCCACACUGGGACUGAGACACGGCCCAGACUCCUACGGGAGGCAGCGAGUGGGGAAUAUUGGACAAUCGGGCGAAAGCCUGAUCCAGCAAGUGCCGCGUGAGUGAUGAAGGUCCUUAAGGUUGUAAAGUCUCGUUUACCCGGAUGAUAAUGA
RNAcentral lists this ribosomal RNA (404 nucleotides) under uncultured soil bacterium. RNAcentral describes it as "bacterial SSU rRNA". It matches the Rfam family "Bacterial small subunit ribosomal RNA", at positions 26 to 454 of the family's 1533-position model. The record is from RNAcentral.